Molecule: long non-coding RNA, 645 nt
Filed under: Hordeum vulgare
Lineage: Eukaryota; Viridiplantae; Streptophyta; Magnoliopsida; Poales; Poaceae
Description: long non-coding RNA (HVUL_LNC019485)
Source: RNAcentral
UCACUGCCGGCUCAUUCAGAUAAGCAUAGGUGCUUUUUUCCACCUAUACCCAGUUGGAGAAGAUGUCAUAUCAUAAUCCACAUGUAGCACCACCUAAUUAAAUACUGCACUAGACUAAGAAGCUUCCCCGUAGACGUUAAGCAAAUGUAAGAAGAUAGAUACCACCAGAAACAUUUUUUAGCUAGCGUGUACGUACGUAUGCUUGUGGUAUGGCCUGUAAUGCCUUCUAUUUUCCAGUCACCUAUAUCGUACGCUUGUUGGCCAUAAGUUAUUGUGCUAGGACGGUGGCAUUGUGGGUUGUGACGGGGCAUCCGACUACAGGAAAGGAAUUGGAUGGGGUGGAUUGUCUCCCACAUCGCGCCGGCUACUAGUAUACAGUAUUUAAAAAAGAUGCGGCUAAAGGUAUUGUUCACAAAAAAGGUGGCACUCUCGGUGCUGGAAAUGCUACGGGAAAGUUGUGUGAAGAGGUUACCAGUGCUUGAUCCCAAUCCGUAAUUCGGCGACCAUGGUGGAAGGUGCCACCAUCAUGAGGUUCUUCCUGCACCACGCCCCUGCGCCUCGAGAAGCCCCUGGGCGCCGCCGUCGGCCAUCUCAGAUCUGGGUGCCGGCGGGCCGCCCCGGCAUGCAGGAAGGUCUGCCCCGCGU